This 304-nucleotide long non-coding RNA is filed under the name Fukomys damarensis (Damara mole-rat). Its description in RNAcentral is "lncRNA (ENSFDAG00000029515.1)". The record is from RNAcentral. Lineage: Eukaryota; Metazoa; Chordata; Mammalia; Rodentia; Bathyergidae.
CCCCAUGCAGGCUCCCACCAAUUAAUAAUCUAAAGACCUGUUUCCUUGGGACACAGCUUUGGAAAUCAUCAGGUCCCACCAAAGAGGGUUGCCGCAGGCUUUAUGAAAGUCUGGGUAAUGGUAGAGUUUACAUCACCACAAAGCAGGAAGUGCUUUUAAAAACCAAGUGGAAGCCUUCCCGAGCCUUUGAAAGUCUGGUCCACCUCUCCACAGGGCUUCUUCAGAAGCUACUGCUCCCCAGCCACUGUUCUCCACCAAGUGACAAAACCGCCUCCCCAUUCUUCGCCCUUCCCUCUUCUGCCAA